GGGCCCGUGGCUCAACCUGGCUAGAGCGUCCGACGGCUUGGAACCGGACGGUUGUGGGUUCAAAUCCCACCGGGCCCG
Molecule: transfer RNA, 78 nt
Filed under: candidate division MSBL1 archaeon SCGC-AAA259B11
Lineage: Archaea; Methanobacteriati; Methanobacteriota
Also listed under: 1 other name
Description: tRNA-Pro
Rfam family: tRNA
About the family: Transfer RNA (tRNA) molecules are approximately 80 nucleotides in length.
Source: RNAcentral